ACAUUAAAUAUAAAUAUAAUACACUAAAUAUAAUCUUUAAUAUGGCUCGACCGUUGGCUUUAUUCAAAUUUUCAAAUUAACCGGAAACGCGGAGGCGCGCUUUCAGCCAUAAUCACUUCCUAUUUACAAGUUCGUUAUUAAAUCACGGAAUUAACAUCAAAAGGUAACGGCCCCCAGCUUCAGACGUCUGUCCCGGGCCACUGAGGGCCUCUCGGAGCCCAACUCAGGUCUCUCCAGCUGGGCUCUUCACUCAGAACAAUGGCCAGUCGACCUGAAUGAGGAAUGCUGAUCAUUUUGAACGAAAGCAUCAGAUUGGAAAGAAAAACUGGAAUCGGAAGUAAGAUCUGCACCUUUUACAACUUUCUUGUUUCUUAUGCAAAUCAACAAGAUUAAAUGGAGAUUUUUGUUGGAGAAAAAGCACCCAGUUAUCUUUCUUAUUUACAAAUGAAGUUCACAAACUGUGCUCAGAUUAUUGCAAUCAAAAGUUUAACGAAUUUAAGGAGAAACAUCUGAGAACUCCAUUAAGUUUCCUGAGUUGUUUUCUGACUGUCUCUUUAGAGAUUUGUUUUCAGAUGCAUUAAAAUGUGCAUGCAUGCCUUAAAGCCUCUUUUCUAUUUUAGCUCUUUAUUUAUAGGCCUCCACAUGUAAUAACAAGUGCAGCCCGAUGGACCAUCAUGUUUCAAUCAUACCAUACCACAAAUUUGAUCACUUUCCUCCCCUCAAAACACAAACACACACUCACACGCAUCACAAAAGCCAUGCUCAUUUCAUUUCAUCACAUACUGUAUAAUUACGCAGAAAACAUGUAUUUUUAGAUAUUUGAGUUAGUGGCCUUGGGAGAUUCAGGCCUGAAAGACACUUGAAGUAAACGAAAGCAGACUCGAGAUCAAUUUGGCUUGCUCUUUCAAUCCGAAAUGUGUUUGAUUGCAAUGCAUAACACACAGUGUGGCACUAUAAAAGAUGCAUGUAUUUUACUCAUGCAUGCAAAUGCAAAAAAUGCAAUUCCUUGCAUGCUUAAAGCAGCAGUUUUGCCAGAGAGGAAAAUGCGCUGAAAUCGUGCUCUCUCUCUCAUGCCAAGGUGUAGAUGAGUUUGUUUCCUGUAUGUAAUCAUUGCAGCAUUGCAUCAGUGUCUCAUCAACGGAUGCUCUGCAGUGAAUGGGUGCCGUCAGAAUGAGAGUCCAAACAGCUGAUAAAAACAUCACAAUAAUCCACAGCACUCCAGUCCAGCAGUUAAUGUCUAGUGAAGCCAAAAUCUGUGUUUGUAAAAAAACAAAUCCAUCAUUAAGCCAUUGCUUCCAGUUAAAAUACAAGUCCUCUACUUAUGUAUAGUCCUUUACAAAGU
Molecule: long non-coding RNA, 1342 nt
Organism: Carassius auratus (goldfish)
Lineage: Eukaryota; Metazoa; Chordata; Actinopteri; Cypriniformes; Cyprinidae
Exons: 3
Source: RefSeq, a predicted model, not a curated record